This 450-nucleotide ribosomal RNA is filed under the name uncultured bacterium. Its description in RNAcentral is "bacterial SSU rRNA". It matches the Rfam family "Bacterial small subunit ribosomal RNA", at positions 29 to 524 of the family's 1533-position model. The record is from RNAcentral.
AACGAACGCUGGCGGCAGGCCUAACACAUGCAAGUCGAGCGAACUCUUCGGAGUUAGCGGCGGACGGGUGAGUAACGCGUGGGAAUAUGCCCAAAGGUACGGAACAACAGUUGGAAACGACUGCUAAUACCGUAUGUGCCCUACGGGGGAAAGAUUUAUCGCCUUUGGAUUAGCCCGCGUUGGAUUAGGUAGUUGGUGGGGUAACGGCCCACCAAGCCGACGAUCCAUAGCUGGUUUGAGAGGAUGACCAGCCACACUGGGACUGAGACACGGCCCAGACUCCUACGGGAGGCAGCAGUGGGGAAUCAUAGACAAUGGGGGCAACCCUGAUCUUGCCAUGCCGCGUGAGCGAUGAAGGCCUUAGGGUUGUAAAGCUCUUUCACCGGUGAAGAUAAUGACGGUAGCCGGAGAAGAAGCCCCGGCUAACUCCGUGCCAGCCGCCGCGGUAAU